UGGUUAGAAAACUUUCUCAGAUUCUUCACCAUUCACAGUAUAACAGGGGAAAUAACUCUAGGUAAUAUAGCCUAUAGGGGGCUAACUUCAAUUUGAUAAGACAGGAAAACAUUGGAGGCAGGGAGUUUUGACGUGUUUACAUCAAAGGCAACGUUAUUUAAUUCCAACGUGUUAAAGAUUAACUGAAGAAUGCGAGGGUUAGAAUAAUUAUGUCAAAACUCGAGAAUGGGAUAAAUGGCAUGAGCCUGAAAAAUGGUGAAAAGUCUUUAACAGCAGGUCUAGAACACACAGCAGGUGACCAGGGUCAAAGUUCAAGCAGUGUUGCUGAAUUGAAGGAAUUAAAACAGAGUAUAUUUGAUAUUUUACGCGAUGUGAGGGAUCCAGAGAAACCUGAGACGUUAGAAGAAUUAAAUGUGCUGACAGAAGAAUCCAUCAGUGUAACUCGCUUAAAGGGCAAUCAGCUCAUGGUUAAUGUUGAGUUUACCCCAACGGUACC
This is a long non-coding RNA of Patella vulgata (common limpet), 496 nucleotides long. RefSeq lists it as uncharacterized. The record is from RefSeq and is a predicted model, not a curated record. The transcript has 3 exons. Lineage: Eukaryota; Metazoa; Mollusca; Gastropoda; Patellidae.